Trematomus bernacchii (emerald rockcod) is the source of this 1062-nucleotide long non-coding RNA. RefSeq lists it as uncharacterized. The record is from RefSeq and is a predicted model, not a curated record. NCBI's taxonomy places the organism in Eukaryota, Metazoa, Chordata, Actinopteri, Perciformes, Nototheniidae. The transcript is spliced from 2 exons.
GAACCCUGGAGAGAGCUAGAGAGAGAGAGAGCGAGAGAGCGAGAGAGCGAGAGAGCUGGCUGCCUAGAGAAGACAGGUGUGUCAGCUCUGUCCACAGAGACAGGUGGAGACAGAGCAACACUUCCUGCUGCACUGUCAAACAUACCAAGACAUUAGAACAAAGUUCUUUACAAAGAUAACAUGUAAACUCCAAGAUUUUGAAUCACUGUCUGACCAGAAUAAAAUGCAACAUGUACUUCGAGAAAAUAGUGCCAGCAGCAUAGAAGCAGCGAAAUAUGUGAGCGCAUGUCACAGCCUAAGAGACAGCAACAACACAUAACAGCUGUUCCUCACAGCUCACUCCUCUACUUCAUUGGUCUCUUUUCUUUCUUUUUACAUUUCAUACUUGAGGUUUUGUAAUAACAUAUUGUUGUAAAUUGUUUAAUGAAUGAAUUGUAUUUGUAUUUUUUUUUCUUUUUCUUAUCAUAUCACUAUUGAAUUGUAUUAUCCUUGACGCUUUGGCAAUAUUGUUCACCUGACAUUCAUGCCAAUAAAGCUUAUUGAAUUGAAUUGAAUUGAGAGAGAGAGAAAGAGAGAGCGAGAGAGCUAGAGAGAGCGAGAGAGAGAGAGAGAGAGACCUGGCUGCCUAGAGAAGACAGGUGUGUCAGCUCUGUCCACAGAGACAGGUGGAGACAGAGCAACACUUCCUGCUGCACUGUCAAACAUACCAAGACAUUAGAACAAAGUUCUUUACAAAGAUAACAUGUAAACUCCAAGAUUUUGAAUCACUGUCUGACCAGAAUAAAAUGCAACAUGUACUUGGAGAAAAUAGUGCCAGCAGCAUAGAAGCAGCGAAAUAUGUGAGCGCAUGUCACAGCCUAAGAGACAGCAACAAUACAUAACAGCUGUUCCUCACAGCUCACUCUGAUCACUCCUCUACUUCAUUGGUCUCUUUUCUUUCUUUCUUUUUACAUUUCAUACUUGCGCUUUUGUAAUAACAUAUUGUUGUAAAUUGUUUAAUGAAUGAAUUGUAUUUGUAUUUUUUUUUCUUUUUCUUAUCAUAUCACUAUUGAAUUGUAUUAU